RNAcentral lists this long non-coding RNA (222 nucleotides) under Lathyrus oleraceus (garden pea). RNAcentral describes it as "Pisum sativum (pea) long non-coding RNA (PSAT_LNC010636)". The record is from RNAcentral. Lineage: Eukaryota; Viridiplantae; Streptophyta; Magnoliopsida; Fabales; Fabaceae.
AACGUUUCCCUCCCAAUUUCAAACUGAAGGGCAUCCUUGUCUUUUCCAUUAUUUUACUUGCCUAUAAAUAGAGACUCGAAUUCAUUUGUUUAAUCAUCCAAACUCAGAGCAAACUUAGUUUCACUUAGGCAUAUAUUCAGUAUUUUAAAGUGGUAAUCGCUUCACAUAGAGUUGUUGCCACAAUUGUGUAAUCGAGUUUGUAAUCGAGUUUGGAGCACUUUG